Molecule: long non-coding RNA, 2366 nt
Organism: Varroa destructor (honeybee mite)
Lineage: Eukaryota; Metazoa; Arthropoda; Arachnida; Mesostigmata; Varroidae
Source: RefSeq, a predicted model, not a curated record
CUACAUCUAUAUUAACUACAUGUUUUAAUACAGAUGUGUCUGUGAAUGGAACGAUGUUUCAUUGCGACAUAUUUAAAAGCCAACCGAAGCGAGAUUGUGCUGUUUACUGUGCAGCCGAUUGCUUUGGAGCAAAAAGCAUUUUACAGGUUUUUUUUGUCCUACUUCAAGUAGCAUAGUACUUACGUAACACUAUGUUUAUUUGUUAUUUGAGGUUACAUUCCUCAUCUUUCGUUCUGUAGCUUUCGGAAGACUUCUAAUCCGUUUGCUGUGUACAUGUACAGGUGCAUGAAGGUCCGCAGCGGCAUCAUCGUUUCGAUACGUUUCAAGCUUACGUCGACGACGUUGUCGAGCGACUCACUUUUAGGUAUCUGGCAGGUAUUUGUGCCCAUGAUCACAACGUAGAGGUUAUGUAAGCAACACGAAAACCGAGUAGCAGUCAACUCACAGCUUUCCCGAUGCCAGACCCGGAAUACUUCACAUAACUUUAUCACACUAUGAAUAUGUGUAUAUGACGAUGGACCUUUUUGCGUAACUCAUAAUAACUUAUUGUCAUGACAAAUGUUUGCUGCACGUCCAAAUCUCAAAGCCGUAUAUUAACGAUUGCUUUCCUAGUAAUUCACAACUAGCCAGCAGUGGAAAUAGCUAGCUAAGUAAAAUCUCAGUCGUGUUAUAUUCUUUUUUGUAAACUUAACAAGUUAGAUCGGUCAUGCGGGGCGAAACAGUAAACCGCUAUGAGUACAUGCAGGUUGAAUAGACCCGCCACCGGUAAAUGCCCGCUAUCUACAAUUGAAUCCGCAUUGACAGCGCGAGAGUCCCGAGUGAAUUUCUGGCCACGAUCUGGAACGAUGAUGUAUUAAACAUCUCGAUAACAUUCGUUACGUGACUAUUACAGUCGGUGCUUCUGCGAAAAGCUUUCGUUUGCCUGCUCCACAAAACUAAGUCGAUCUAUUGUCUAAACAUAGAUAUACUUAAAGUCGUGCAGGACGGCCAUUAUUCUGUCAUAUAUAGACAGUUGAUGUAAGGACAGCAUCUUGUUGUGCCAAUGUGAUUUAAAGUUGACGAGGUCUACGGAAGACGACCUGUGUUUGCUCGCCUGCUCUAUUCUCGCUAUUGUCUUAAACGUAAGAAGAUAGCUUAAUUAGCCCCUGAUGGUAUCUCGGUGCUUGUGAUUUAUCUUCCUUCCCUACUGUUAGACAUUCGCGGAGCAUGUGCACGUCAGAACAAUUGGAAAAGCGAUUUCCAAGUUUUCAAUAAAGAGUCGAGCAUACGGAUUCGACAUUAUACAGCUAUACACUUUAACUUUAACCUUUGUCAGUGAUAACUUGUGAAGAAUCAUGCUACCUGUCUAUCACUAUCAUACUUUUACAAGCAUAGUUAGGGGAGCGUUACUAAGAGAAGUGCACAUAUAAACGGUAUAGAACUGGGUAGAGUAUGUGGGUUCAAGGCAUGCCACUAAUUUUUUUCACGAAUUUUUCUCGGUCAAUACAACGAGUACGUUACAAAUUGCUCGUUAGAACGCUAAGCUCCCAUUUCUUUUUUUUAAAGUUACCUUCGCAGCAACUAUCUACGGUUAAUAUUUUGCCAAGUUGAAUCAAGCCAAUACCCUGCGCGUCUAGUUGGCUCUCGAGCACCGAGAUACAUAUCUAUUGUAUGAUAUGAAGACUAUCUAGAGAUACAAACCGCGUCUGUUUUCGCGAGGUUUAUAGUGAUGUUCGUGUCUUAUCAGAAAAAAACCAACCAGAGCGGCAUAGUACGGAAAAAUGCCAUUGUACAGAAUCAAGAGAUGGCAUCGGCGAUUCUGCUUCUUCGUUCAUCGGGAUAAUGAAUGGAUGAUACCCUGACAGUUCAUGAACAUGAGAAGACUAAUCAUGGAUCUUGUUAUCGAAUAAGAGUCGAGUCAUGAUGAAUGUCCUGGUUAGAAGGACAAGUAGCCACAUGUCCGGUAAGCUUCAGGAGAUGAAAUAUGCGAAGAGCGAUGUCCUACGUUCUGCGGAAAAUAUCGAAUGAGCAAAAAGCUCAACCCCAUUGGCUGACCGUUAAUAACCAUUGGGGAAGAGCGUUAUUAAAUGAAAUUAUCUCGUAGUCUUGUUAUUGUUUUCAGUAUUAUCAUUAUUCAGUAUUCUCAGUAUUCAUUUAUGUAUCCGACGUGAGAUCGGUUUCAAUAGAAGCCUAAAAAUCUAUUAGAUAGACUAUUGUUCAUGCUUAAGCAAAAGCUCCGGAUGCAUUAAACGGCUCAAACUAACGAAGCCAAUCUAAUUAUCAUUUGACGAAUAUAAGCAUCGCUCUCUUGUGUAUAAAAUAAUUCGUGACUGACUUUGGCCUAAUUAAAUGAUGUUUUAAUUCAAUUUUAGAAAGCAGAAAAUCAA